GAUGAACGCUAGCUACAGGCUUAACACAUGCAAGUCGAGGGGAAACGACAUCGAAAGCUUGCUUUUGAUGGGCGUCGACCGGCGCACGGGUGAGUAACGCGUAUCCAACCUGCCCAUCACUUGGGAAUAACCUUGCGAAAGUAAGACUAAUACCCAAUGACAUCCCACGAAGACAUCUGAAUGGGAUUAAAGAUUUAUCGGUGAUGGAUGGGGAUGCGUCUGAUUAGCUUGUUGGCGGGGUAACGGCCAACCAAGGCAACGAUCAGUAGGGGUUCUGAGAGUAAGGUCCACUACAUUGGAACCGAGACACGGUCUAAACCCCGACGCGAGGCAGCAGUGAGGAAUAUUGGGGAAGGGGCGAGAGCCUGAACCCGCCAAGUAGCGUGCAGGAUGACGGGCCUAGGGGUUGUAAACUGCUUUUAUAAGGGAAUAAAGUGGGUCUCGUGAGACUUUUUGCAGGUACCUAAUGAAUAAGGACCGGCUAAUUCCGUG
Molecule: ribosomal RNA, 492 nt
Filed under: uncultured bacterium
Lineage: Bacteria
Description: partial 16S ribosomal RNA
Rfam family: Bacterial small subunit ribosomal RNA
Source: RNAcentral